GAUGAACGCUGGCGGCGUGCCUAAUACAUGCGAGUCGAGCGAACGGACGAGGAGCUUGCUCCUCUGACGUUAGCGGCGGACGGGUGAGUAACACGUGGAUAACCUACCUAUAAGACUGGGAUAACUUCGGGAAACCGGAGCUAAUACCGGAUAAUAUAUUGAACCGCAUGGUUCAAUAGUGAAAGACGGUUUUGCUGUCACUUAUAGAUGGAUCCGCGCCGCAUUAGCUAGUUGGUAAGGUAACGGCUUACCAAGGCAACGAUGCGUAGCCGACCUGAGAGGGUGAUCGGCCACACUGGAACUGAGACACGGUCCAGACUCCUACGGGAGGCAGCAGUAGGGAAUCUUCCGCAAUGGGCGAAAGCUUGACGGAGCAACGCCGCGUGAGUGAUGAAGGUCUUCGGAUCGUAAAACUCUGUUAUUAGGGAAGAACAAAUGUGUAAGUAACUAUGCACGUCUUGACGGUACCUAAUCAGAAAGCCACGGCUAACUACGUG
This 497-nucleotide ribosomal RNA is filed under the name uncultured bacterium. RNAcentral describes it as "partial 16S ribosomal RNA". It matches the Rfam family "Bacterial small subunit ribosomal RNA", at positions 28 to 507 of the family's 1533-position model. The record is from RNAcentral.